CCUACGGGUGGCAGCAGUAGGGAAUAUUGCUCAAUGGGGGAAACCCUGAAGCAGCAACGCCGCGUGGAGGAUGAAGGUUUUCGGAUUGUAAACUCCUUUUGUUAGAGAAGAUAAUGACGGUAUCUAACGAAUAAGCACCGGCUAACUCCGUGCCAGCAGCCGCGGUAAUACGGAGGGUGCAAGCGUUACUCGGAAUCACUGGGCGUAAAGAGCGCGUAGGCGGGAUAGCAAGUCAGAUGUGAAAUCCUAGGGCUUAACCAUAGAACUGAAUUGGAAACUGUUAUUCUAGAGUAUGGGGGAGGUAGGUGGAAUUCGUGGUGUAGGGGUAAAAUCCGUAGAGAUCAAGAGGAAUACUCAUUGCGAAGGCGACCUGCUAGAACAUAACUGACGCUGAUGCGCGAAAGCGUGGGGAGCAAACAGGAUUAGAUACCCCAGUAGUC
This 440-nucleotide ribosomal RNA is filed under the name uncultured bacterium. Its description in RNAcentral is "partial 16S ribosomal RNA". It matches the Rfam family "Bacterial small subunit ribosomal RNA", at positions 338 to 795 of the family's 1533-position model. The record is from RNAcentral.